AAUACAAUAUAUUAUCGUUUUAAUAUUAAAAAAGUUUAAUAUUUGUUUUAAAGAUGGGGUUAUUUUUAUCCAAUAUUUUUUUUUAACUUAUGAAAAUUAUUAUUAAAUAACGAGAAUAUGCUUUUUUUAUGUGCGUGUAAUAGUUAUACAGAAAUUUCUCAUACAAAUAAAUUGUCUGUUUAAUGCUAUGCAUAACUUCAUUUCAUUAUAUUUUAAAUUUUAAAAAUAGAUAUUCUCAAAACAAAAAUUUUUUUUUCAUACUAAUAAAGAAACAAUGCCUAUUUUUGUUCAAUUAACACAAACAUUAUAUGUGCAAAACACUUGCAAGAGAAAAGUUUAGUGGAUUUGGGAUUAUUGUACUCACAGUAUUUUGCACAGUAAAUUUGCAUACCUUAGGCGUUUUUAUCAUAUCGCUUGAAUGUGUACGAUAUAUAGCUGAUACCGUACCAAAUUUAAGUAAGUCUUCGUCUUUUAAUUCGUACCAUUUAAGGCAUUCUAGUAUUUUCUGUGGAAAAAAGAAACACUAAAUUAUCUUCAAAACUGACAUUUUGUCAUAUAAAUUAAAUAAAGCAUUAGCUGUGUUAAUAUAUAAAGAUGUAUAACGUCUUUUACAUUAUUGACUUGUGUCACAUUAGACGAACAUAAAUCCAAAACGUAGGCUGAGUUCCGAUCUUCAAUUUUUAUUUCAGCAUGUACUUUUGAUACUGUCUAAAAAAAGAUUUAAAAUGUUAUAAACAUCUUAAUAUUUAGCAACAAGUACAUGUUUAUUGGUUUUCUAAUAUAUAAAAAGUAUAUACAAAAAAGUUGAUCUAAAAAGAUUUUCUGUGAAAAAUCUUUUAGAAAGAACUUUAAAUAAUAUUUAAGCUAAACCAAACAUUUUUAACAUUGUUUUACAAUAAACACACGUGCAAACGAUAUUAGUGAUAAUCGUUUUGACAAAGGUCUAUCUAUGUUUAAUCCGAACUAUAUAGAUUUAUUUUAAUAAUGCUGUAAAUAUAUAUUUGUUACACAGAUAUUAUCUAAGUAUAUAUAUCAAUUUAUACCACGAUCUUGUAUUGAUUAAAAAUUUUCUUUAUGUCUAAUUUACAAAAACUAUUAUCAAUAAAUUUUUUUGUACAUAAGAAUUAUGUUGGAACUUACCUCAUCGUUGAUAACAAUGUCGCAUUUAGGGUUUCUGCCAAUUAUACAAACUUCUUCCUUAAUUGGAUAGCUAUUGGAAUUAAUGAUUAAUGUUUCCAUCUAAAUUUAAGGCACCUUUAGAGAUCAACAUUCUCAAUGACAGUUAGUGUUAAUUUAAGUGUUUAUUUUAAGUAAAUCUUGCUUGUGUUAAAUAAAUAAUAAAUGUAUUUUAAGGCUAUUCAUCAGGGAAAUGGUUUUUGCAACAAUAACGUUAACUUAAAAGAAGAAAACCGAGAAAAAUGAGAAACUGCUUUUUUUUUAGCAUGAGAGCAAAUUUUUCUGUAUGUACUCUCGAGAUAAUUUAAUAUUUUAGUCUGUUACAUACUGCCCGUAUGUUGACAAAUAAAUUGAAAUAUAUUAAGUAAUUAAGAUAAAUAUUACAAUAAAUUAUAAUUAUCAAGUUAUCAACAAAAUAUAAUUAGUUGCAAGAAUUAAAUUACAAUUGUAAAUAAAAGGAAAAAAACGAAAUGUUGCUAAAAAUAAAUAAUUCUAAUUUUGACAAAGCAACGAGUUAUUUCUCAACAUUCAUGUGUAAAUAUUACAGCACCAAACAUUGUAGUAAUGUUACAGGAAGGUUACGAUCUUACAAAUGUCAUUAAGAAUGUUACUGCAAUAUUUCACUAACCUUACAAUACAACUUAACAUUGUAAUAUUGUCGGAAGGUUAAUAAAAUAUUAUUUUAAUCUUAAGCGCAAUUAUAUAUUUUUUUUCUUAUAUUAUUUUUUAAUAUGUACGUUUUCAUAUAUUUUCAUAAUUUGUUAUUUAUUAAAAAUUAAAUUGGUAAUACUUAAGGAAAGCUUACUGUUCUCCGAAUUUGUUAAAACUUAAUUAUUAUAUAAAUAAUAACACAAUAUUAUGUGUUUUUGUGCAUAGAAUCACAGUAUAAAUAUACACAGUAGCGACAUAUUCUUUCAUCUCAGACAAAUAUUUUGAAGCUUCUUUAACCCACUGUAUUUGCCAAAUACCUUACCCCUGUUGUUGCUCUAUAACUCUAUAAGGUCUUUAAGUAUGGCAGCAAAUGGCAACACUUAAUUCCAGUACUAUCAGUAAGGGUGAUUGAUUGGGAGAUAAAAGGGAGAGUGGUGCAUAGGACUACUGGUGAAGGACCACUAUAAAAAUCCUAACGCGCCAAGUUCGGGACCUCAAUAGGUGGUGGGGAACUCCGAAGAGUACACCGGACUUGUUUCUAACGAUACACAUACGCAAUAUGCUUGAAAAGAGAGAUUAUGAUAUAGUAAGAUUGGUUUCUCAACCAAGCAACCAAAAGAUGUAAUUAUUUCUGCCGUUACGGACGCGCACACAUAUACACAUAUAUGUAUGUAUUAUGCGAAAUACAUGAUACGUUUAUUUUUAUUUUCAGCGCCGGUGUAUCGAAAAUGAUUCCUAGGAUUGACUUGACAAUUACACCUUUUAAUCGGCAUGUCUUUAGCUAUCUUUUAUCAGAGUUUGAGCCAAUUUGUAUGAAACCCAUUUUUUUCCUACGAAAAAUGGGUUUGCGGGGUCUUCUACAAAUUAUUUGAUUUAAAAUUAAUGACUUCUGCAAAAUUUUUCUCUAUUGAAUUCCGAUUCUUACGAGCUUUGAAAUAAGUUUUCUAAAUAGUUUAAAACAUGAAAAUACUACAGAUUUAGUUUAUAUGUAUACCUGUAAAUAUAUACAUAUAUUUAAAAAAAUAAGUUUUGGAAGGAAUAAAACUAUAUUAAGAAAAACCAAAGCUGUAAAAGAUCAGAGGCACGAUAAUAUCAAAUUUCAUUGACGAUGUUAUUUUUGUAUUUUUGACAUUAAAUUGAGUUCACAACAAACUAUGAAAUUUUUGUAUACACUCGUUUUCUGUAGUUCCAGGUCUAAGCAUUGCAAUAGCGGUACACAUAUUUUUUAAUGCAUUAUUUCAAAGCUGUUAUGAUAAUUUGGCGUGUCUACCGUGUACAAACACGGUUUUUUUUGUAAGCUUCUAUGAGACAUAAUACAGCUUUUCUUGUUCACUUUUUUCUUUUUGUUUCUGCGUUGUAGAUAUCAUUAAAUGAACAAUACUUAUUUGUCUUUACUUAAGAAACUACAGAAAACAUAAUAAAAUAGUAAUUAUAUAAUAAUAUAUAUAAUAAAUAUAAUUUAUUCAAAAAUUCAUUCAAAAAGAUAAUGCGUUUACGAAGCAUUUCUAUAGUUGUGACCCAUCUUCAUAAAUUUGCAUACAAAUUUUAAUGCGCGAUUAUUCGAUGAUUGUAUAGCAAAAUGAUACUGAGAAUCAUAAAGUGCACCAAACUGUAAUACAUGGAUAAUAGCAUUAAAUCCAUAAGUUUUUUGAAACUCCACAGCAAUAUUUUUAAUUUUUAUAAUUCUUAAUUUUAGCCCAUUCUUCAAAAGAAAACCUAUUUUUCUUUCUUUAUCUAGUCUUUCGUUGAGAAAUCGUAUUCGUGGAUAUGACUGAAAAUAGAAACCUACUUUUGGAGGUUUAGUUUUAUCACAUUUUGAAUUUAAAUUUUUCUUGUUACUUUUAAGAAGUCUAGUUAAUAUUUUUUCUUCAUUUGGGCAUAUCUUUGUGUAAUCAUGAUCGAUUAAUGGCGUAUUCGAAAAUAUAAGUUUUCGCGUUAAUAAUUCAGCAGUCAGUGUAAAUCCGUUUUCAGUUUGUCUUGCUCAUAAUUUGUAAAAAAAUUAUGAAUAUUAUUAUUGUUUGACUCAAUAUAAAAGGAAUUUUGAUUUCAGAAAAAAUUAAGAAGUAUCUUCAAUAUUUUUUUAUUCAUUUGGAUUUUCGGGAUUUAAUUUGUUAACAUCUACAAAAAAUUAUUUUUAUUGACAAGUCCUCUCCACGCUUCAUCACUCUUUAAAUUAGAGUCCGUUCACCAUGCGGAUCCUCUCGCAAUAAACUUAUUGAAUUAACAUUUACAUUUACAAUUAGCUGAUGUGAUGAAAAUUUUAAUCCUUCAUCUGCUGAACAGUAUUUAAUGUUGGUUUUCGUACUGAAGACGUUGACUCAAUAUCUGCUGAACAUGGAAAGUGGUACAGAUAUUUGGGAAGAGAAUUCUGAAUAUUAAUCUGAUAAACAUGCUGCUGAUGUUUUCAAAAUGGAUUUUGGUCUUUCGCUUAACAUACAUAAAGUUGUUGUGGAUUUUUGUGAGUUUUGGAAUUUUCCAUUGUCUGUACAUAAAGUUGCAGUGAGAUCUUGUAUGUUUUUUAAUUUACUGUUGGAUAAACAUAAAGCUGAUGUAGGUUCUUUUAUAAAAGAUCCUGAAUUUUUGUCAAGUGAACAUGAAGUUGGAAUAACUUUUCGCGGAGCUGAUUUUAAUUCUUUAGUAGAUGAAUGUCAAGACUAUAUCAGAUUUUUGCGAUACUGGCUAUAUAAUUCUUUUUUUUUCUGAUGUAAAUACAGAUGUAUCGGUUGUCUACCCAUUUCAUUGUCAUCAUAUGUGAUUAUUUCACUGUCACUAAUCAUCUGUAAUAUCCUAACAUCACCUGCAAUAAUUUCUCUUGUUUCAUUAAAAUUGUUAGUAGUUUUUUGCAUAAUUCAUACACAGCCCAUAUUUACGUAAACAUAUAAUAUGUAACUACAAAUGUAUAUAAACAUACCCCUUGCCACACACACAAAAUAUAAAAUAUUAAAAUAAAAAAUUUUAAUAGACAAUUCUCUGUACGCUUAAUCGCACAUUUAUUAAUUUUUGUUCAUUACCAGUAAAAGCGACUUGUCGGUUUUUUUUAACUUUUACUCGCAAUAAACAGAUUAAUAAAAUUAGAAAAUGCACGGUAUAAUAGUCAUUGAAUAUAACAGUCAUUGAAAGAAUAAACUUUUACAGAGCCUUUAUAUUUAUUGCUAUAUUAGAUCUUUUUAGAUAAUUUUUAACAAAUUAAAUCGCGAUAACUUACUUUUGAUAGGAAUUUGCCGACGAGGGGUUACAUCUAAAUUGUUAUCAAUAUUUUGCAAAGAUCAUGAAAACAAAUAAUGCUUUAACGAUACAUAUUUUAGUAAGUAGUAAAGUUAUUAUUAUUGAAAGAAACUGGAAAAAGAACACAUUAAUAAACUACUAACUUUUCGAAUUUGUAGCUGGUAUAUUAUUGAGUGUUGAAGUUUGCGGAGAAACGAGAGUUGAUAUGGAAGAAGAAGGAAGCAUGGGUAGUAGUCGGUGUUAGAGAAGAAAUAUCGGACUCCGAAAAUGAAGUUACAUCAUCUUUGUGUUGUUUAGAUUUCUCAUAUAUUUCACUUUCAAUGACAUUGUCUGGUGAACUCAUAGUCCUGGAAUAAAUAUAUUUAUUUAUACAUACAACUUUAUAUGGUUAUACAUAUAACAAUAUACACAGUCUGUUCUUAUUAUGUUAUUAUUUUAUAUUUAAGUUUAUUUUAAGUACAGAUACAAAACAUUUAAUAUUAAAUUAGCAUUAAAUUUCAAAUCACAUUAGCAUUUUAAGAUAAGAAAAAAAAUAAAAACGCUAAAUUUAAUUUUAUGAUGGAAAUAGUAUAACUAGAUUUCAAUCUGUUAACUAGCUUAGAGUGACUUAAAUAACAGAUUUUAAUCUGUUAACUCUUCUAGAUGUAAAUGAGUUGAACAUGAAACAAACUGUCUUUAAUAUAUAUUGUCUUUGACAAAUUAAUAAAAAAAUAUUCAAAUUUUGAAUAAAAAAACUUACUGUCGCGUUUUAUAAAUGUCGUUCAAGAAAGUCAUAACAUCAUAAACCUGAACCUGAACCUGAACCUGAACUUCGAUUUUUUUACAUUAGCGGCGUCAACUGCCAAUUCACUGGGAAUGUAGCUUUUUUUCGAGCUUUUACAUAAUUAUCUCGCAAGUAUUUUCAGCAAGCUUUAGCCUCCUCUGAAGUAAGAGCUCGUAACAAAUUAUAAUUGGUUCACAAUGUGUAAAAUAUUCACAUAUGUAUUUAUAAAUGUAAAUAUAGAUAUAGUACCUCCUAGAAUGUUAGAAAUUUCGACCCACAAAGCAUUUUUAUGCAUAUGCAGCUUGUCUUUUUGUAUGUGAUGGUCCUUAAUCAGCGGCGAUUUCAUGGUGAUAUAAUGGUAGUUCGAGGUUAGUGACGUGUGCGAGGUUAGCGUUGAAUCGGUUUUUAUUUUAUUUAUGCACAAUGUGCAUAUUACAUCGUGAAAGGAAAUACUUUGCUUAUUACAUCGUGGAGGGAAAUACGGCUGUUUAAUUUGAAGAUCAGAUAAGUUACACAAAAUUUCAUUUUUAGAAUAAGUAUUCUGAGAUAAGAGUAAUACUUUGCGUUAUGUUUUAUUUUUAGUUAUAUUAAAGGAAAAAAAACUUCAUUUGGACCGAAACUAGAAUAGAAAAUAAAAAAAGUGGGCGAGUGAGAAAAGGAAGAUUAUAAAUAUCAAAGCUCGGAAUUUACAAUGUGCCAGUGUAUGCUGCUGUUAAUAAGAAAUUUACCAAGGUUCAAGAUGGAAUAUCACUACAAUCAUGGUGAAAGAAAAACAUAUUUAAGUGGCGAUGCUGGAUCAUCAUACGGAUAACAGACGGGGGGUUCCGGUUGCGUUCCUGAAAACAAGCGCAUAUAAUAGGCCCUGAAAAUGGCCCUUAAGAUGGCGGUACCAAUAAGGAAUCCUGUUCAUCGAGCGCGACAGGCAUAAAAUUGAACAUACCCAAUAGAAAUAUUCCUGCACUCCGAAUUUAUUGAGCGCGACGUGCAAGAAGGAGAAGCAAAGAAGACCACGAGGGGGUGGACCGUCGACCGCCAUUAUCGCUACUACAGACAAUCACGAUCAACCGGGACAGCAUUGGAGGUCAAUUUUUACACCAACGAGCAAGGAGCAGAUACCUAUUUCGAAAGCUACGGUUUGCCUUGGACUUCAGAUUUUUUCGACGAAAUUCUACUACAUAUGGAUAGGAUAGGAUAUCACAUCUGCAAGAAAUGUACUCUCAAACUUACACACAAUACUGCUACGUAUUUUUUUAUAUUUCACGUGUAUAGUUUUAAUUUCUUAAUUUGUUUAUCUGAUUAUAAGCAUAAUGACCAACUAAUUGUACUAAUUGUAAAUUAUUUUGUAAAAUUCUGUCAAUGGAUAAUUAAUUACUUUCAAUAAACUUGUCAAUGUUUACACCUAAAUUAAUUACUCAUAAUUAUAUAAUUAUAAUUAUAAGCUAUAAUUAUAUUUAAAUAUUUAUUAAUAUUUUUUAAAUAUGACUAAAGAAAAUUAAAAAUGCUAUUGAAGAAUUUUACAAUAAUUAUAGGACACCUUGUAUGUUACUUAUAAUUUUUUAUUUUUUAUAUACAUUUAAAACAGAUUGAUAUAUUCCACAAAUUUCAGUUUAUGUUUCGUGAAUAUCU
This is an RNA transcript of Monomorium pharaonis (pharaoh ant), 7441 nucleotides long. RefSeq lists it as uncharacterized. The record is from RefSeq and is a predicted model, not a curated record. NCBI's taxonomy places the organism in Eukaryota, Metazoa, Arthropoda, Insecta, Hymenoptera, Formicidae. The transcript has 4 exons.